AGAGUUUGAUCCUGGCUCAGAUUGAACGCUGGCGGCAGGCCUAACACAUGCAAGUCGAGCGGAUGAAGGGAGCUUGCUCCCUGAUUUAGCGGCGGACGGGUGAGUAAUGCCUAGGAAUCUGCCUGGUAGUGGGGGAUAACGUUCCGAAAGGAACGCUAAUACCGCAUACGUCCUACGGGAGAAAGCAGGGGACCUUCGGGCCUUGCGCUAUCAGAUGAGCCUAGGUCGGAUUAGCUAGUUGGUGAGGUAAUGGCUCACCAAGGCGACGAUCCGUAACUGGUCUGAGAGGAUGAUCAGUCACACUGGAACUGAGACACGGUCCAGACUCCUACGGGAGGCAGCAGUGGGGAAUAUUGGACAAUGGGCGAAAGCCUGAUCCAGCCAUGCCGCGUGUGUGAAGAAGGUCUUCGGAUUGUAAAGCACUUUAAGUUGGGAGGAAGGGCAUUAACCUAAUACGUUAGUGUUUUGACGUUACCGACAGAAUAAGCACCGGCUAACUUCGUGCCAGCAGCCGCGGUAAUACGAAGGGUGCAAGCGUUAAUCGGAAUUACUGGGCGUAAAGCGCGCGUAGGUGGUUCGUUAAGUUGGAUGUGAAAGCCCCGGGCUCAACCUGGGAACUGCAUCCAAAACUGGCGAGCUAGAGUACGGUAGAGGGUGGUGGAAUUUCCUGUGUAGCGGUGAAAUGCGUAG
This 690-nucleotide ribosomal RNA is filed under the name uncultured bacterium. RNAcentral's name for it is "bacterial SSU rRNA". It matches the Rfam family "Bacterial small subunit ribosomal RNA", at positions 8 to 693 of the family's 1533-position model. The record is from RNAcentral.